Molecule: ribosomal RNA, 468 nt
Filed under: uncultured bacterium
Lineage: Bacteria
Description: partial 16S ribosomal RNA
Rfam family: Bacterial small subunit ribosomal RNA
Source: RNAcentral
GACGAACGCUGGCGGCGUGCUUAACACAUGCAAGUCGAACGGAAAGGCCCUGCUUUUGUGGGGUGCUCGAGUGGCGAACGGGUGAGUAACACGUGAGUAACCUGCCCUUGACUUUGGGAUAACUUCAGGAAACUGGGGCUAAUACCGGAUAGGAGCUCCUGCUGCAUGGUGGGGGUUGGAAAGUUUCGGCGGUUGGGGAUGGACUCGCGGCUUAUCAGCUUGUUGGUGGGGUAGUGGCUUACCAAGGCUUUGACGGGUAGCCGGCCUGAGAGGGUGACCGGCCACAUUGGGACUGAGAGACGGCCCAGACUCCAACGGGAGGCAGCAGUGGGGAAUAUUGCACAAUGGGCGGAAGCCUGAGGCAGCAACGCCGCGUGCGGGAUGACGGCCUUCGGGUUGUAAACCGCUUUCGCCUGUGACGAAGCGUGAGUGACGGUAAUGGGUAAAGAAGCACCGGCUAACUACGUG